GGCGAGACAUUCCGAGCCAAUAAGGAGUUAACCCAAACAUGGGGAGACGGGCUGGUUGAUUUGAGGUGGCUGAGGAGAUUGGGGGAGAUGGGGAAUUCUCAUAGUCUCCAAACCCAGCAAUUCCUUCCUGGGAGUUUUUUAAACAUUCCUUCCUGGGAGAAGGGCCUCUGAUGGGGACAGCUGAUAAAGGAGCUGCCACCCCCUCCUCCAGCUCCCCACCCCCGUGCCCCACUGGAAGACAGGCUUGAUUUCCACAUCCUGCCUAGCACGGGCUUGGUGAAGCUGGCAGAAGCCCUCUCAUCAGUCUCUGUUCUUCUGUCUGGACUGAACCCUCCAGCCCAGGCUUCAGGCCAGGCGCCAGCUCUGCUUUCACAGCUUUGUGUGACUUUCGCAAUAACCAAAUGGCUUCCAAGCUUCUCCCCUUGCCAACCCCACCCCCAGCCCCUGUCUAUUUUCCAUCUGGUGUCCAGAAUGAUCAUUUCAAAACAUAAGGCUCAUCAUGUCCCUCUUCUGUUCAAGACCCUACAUUUGGCUUUCCAUUUCACUCAACAGCAAUCCAAGGUCCUCUUCAUGGCCGGCAAGUCCCACCUGUUCUCACCCCGGCUGCCCCUACCUCAUCUCAGCCACGCUGGCCUCCUUCGUAUCCCUGAAUGCACCAAGCAGGCUCUUAUCCGACACCUGGGCAGGUCUUCUUCCUUCUGCUGGAAACACUCUUCCCCAAAUAGCUGCAUCCCUUGCUUCCUCUUGUCCUGACCACCCUAUCAAAAAAGGCAUCCUGUUCCAUCAGCCCAGCCCCUUCCUGUACUGUACUGACUGUCCCUACUGAAAUAUAGGCUCCACGAAGGGGAGGACUUUGUUUUUUUUUCACUGCUAUGUCCCCAGCACCAAGAACAACAGUGGCUGGCACAUAGUAGGUGCUCAAUAAAUAAUGAUUUCCUGAUUUAAUCAGAUUGGUUUUGAGUCUAAAGUUAUUUUGUACGUUUUCUUCUUUACACAUUUCUCUAUUUUUCAAAUUUUCUGCAGUAAAUAUGCAUGUUUUUACCAUCAGAAAAAGCAGUAAAUGACAUAGUCUUUUCUCUAGGACCAAUCUUUGGGAGACUCAGAGCUGCUAGAGAAUAAUUUAAGAAGAUGAAGGGAGGCCCUGCCUUGAGCCCCUGGUUCUGAGCAGCACCAGGUCGGUCCUGGUAGACUAUAACAAUACCACUGAUUCCUAAUGGUGGAUGGGGGAACUUAGUGGGGCUAAGCAGACCCCACUUACCUAACAGCAUUUUGUCUUGGGGUCACUGGGGAAGGAGAGAGAAGGAGUGAAAACACGACCAGCAGCAACCCCCUCCCCACUGAAAUGCACCAGGAUCUCCCUAACCCGAUACAACAGACAUGAGGACAUGGGCUCCCAAGCACCCUCCAGUAAGGCAUUGUGGCCAUAGGUCAUUCUUUAACUGGCACAACUGGCUUUUCUCAGACAGACUUUCUCUUUAUUUUCUUCAGGGACUAUUACUCUGAGGCCUAGUACCUGCUGCCUCUGCUUAUAUGACUGAAUCUAGAACAAAGAAGAAACAUCUUAGCUGAGGGGUCAGGGCUCUGGCCUGACAGAAACCCUGUGGUCUUGUCUCCAUGUCAGAGCCCCAUGACUCCAAGUGGGUGGGAGUCCUGGGCUCGCCCAUGACUCAUUGUUCGAGUUCGUAGAGAACUCAGAAGUUCCAUAUGGAAGCACAGCCUCACAGGCUAGAGACAAUUCAGGAAACGAAAGCCCCAUUCACUUGAUUAUUGGUUCAUUUUCUGAUGGAAGCUUUGCUGAUCCUCUUUCAUAAGGACCAUCUGAAAUAGACAACUGAAAAGAGAACUAGGGGGCCAUUUCCCUUCCCUCCUCUAGCCCCUGAGCUCGGUCAUCAGAGUCAUGUGGACCCUAGCCCCUGGAGCUGGAUAGGGCCCAGGGGUCAUCUGGCCACUGUCUGUUUCAUUGUGACUUACCAGGCAGGCCCCCUGAUACUCAGGGACACAGCUGCCUGCCUCCUGGGCUGACUUUCCUGCAAUGCUCUAGAGCGGAGCCAGCCAGCUUCUCCAAGAAGCCGGUGGUAAAUACUCGCUCUGGGCACUGUCACCUUUUCUUUGUUUUUUCCUUACAACCCUUUAGAAACAUAAAACCAUCCUGAGCUCACGGGCUUCACAGAAACAGGCUGUGAGGAUAGGCAAAGUACAGCCCAUGAGCAAGACCCAGCCCACUGCCUGUUUUUGUAAAAUAAAGUUUUAGUGGACACAGCCCUGCUGAUCUCUUGAUGAAUUGCCUAUGGCUGCUUCCACGCUACUACAAUCGUGGAAUUCUGUAGUUGAGACAGAGCCUGUAAGGUCAAUAAAGCCAAAAAUAGUUUCUAUCUGUCCCUUCAUAGAAAACAUCUGCCAAGCCCUUCUCUAAAGUUUCAUAUGCAUUCGUUCCUAUUUAACACUCAAAACAAUUUUUGAGAUUAGUAUUAGAGAUGAGUAUUCCUAAUCUUACAGAUGAAGAAACCGAGAACGAGAAAGGAUAAGGCUUGCUCAAGGUCACAUGGCUAAUGAGGGGCAGAACCAGAACCCAAACCCAGAUCUCAUCUCUAAACCAGGGCUUCUUCACC
This 2609-nucleotide long non-coding RNA is filed under the name Homo sapiens (human). RNAcentral describes it as "HSALNT0013279". The record is from RNAcentral. Lineage: Eukaryota; Metazoa; Chordata; Mammalia; Primates; Hominidae.